Molecule: long non-coding RNA, 407 nt
Filed under: Elaeis guineensis (African oil palm)
Lineage: Eukaryota; Viridiplantae; Streptophyta; Magnoliopsida; Arecales; Arecaceae
Description: long non-coding RNA (EGUI_LNC006568)
Source: RNAcentral
UCCGGAUUGAGUUCCAACCAUCCGAUCGCGAUUGCAUGCGAUCUAAACCGUCAGAUCGCGCACAAACACCCCCAAACAGCGCGAUCAAUCCACGUGGCCUCUAUGGACCACCCAACACCCUGCGGUCCACGGUGGACCGCUUAGGGUGCUGGGCUGGGCGCCUAUGCAUGCGCUGGGCCGGCCCGCGCGUGUGCGUCCACCAGGCUCUGCUGCACCGCAGCCGGCCUCCGUCGCUUGGUGCACCGUGCCAUCUGCUCCAAGCUUUUUUUGUGCGUAUCUUCACCGUCUGAACUCUGUUUGGACUAUUUUUAGGCUCGUUGGACUCCGUUCGUCAUUCUGAAUCUUGCUGUGGGCUCAGUAUAAAUCAAAUCUCGAAACAUCUAAUCUCAACACUUUGUUAAGCCGAG